Non-coding RNA from Sus scrofa (pig), 2760 nucleotides. The record is from RefSeq and is a predicted model, not a curated record. Lineage: Eukaryota; Metazoa; Chordata; Mammalia; Artiodactyla; Suidae.
AGAUCCCGAGUUGCUGUGGCUGUGGCGUAGACCAGCAGCUGCGGCUCUGGUUUGACCCCUAGCCUGGGAACUUGCAUAUGCUGGCGUGCAGUGCUUAAAACAAAAAAUAAAUAAAAAGACAAUGAAGGGAAAAUAUUGGUGGGAAGGAAGCUUGGCUAUAGGGUGAAGGUAGUAGUGGGUACAUGAACGGAAUGACCAAGUUUGGACUCUUCAAACUUGUUGGGUGCCACCAAUGAAAGCAGUAUUAAUCCUUGCUAAAAGACCCACCUAAAAGAUCACACUUUUGAUGAGCAGUGGUGGCUAAUUACAAAUCUUUGAAGGUCAAAUGCUAUUUAAUCAUAUUUCUCAUUAUACUUUUUUUGGUUUUGCUAACAGCAUAACAGAGCAUAUUUUCUAGCAUAAUAAAUCACUGAGUGAAGGAAGUUUUGAAAGAGAAAACUCUAACAAUAGUAGGAAAAAAGCAAAGCAAUCAAAAAAGAGGGCAAGGAACACUACAUCUAAAGCUAUACCAAGAAUUGACAGGAGCUGGGGUACAGUAUGAAUUGGGUAUCUGAACCCAUGCUACAAAGAAAAUACUCGGGGCAAUAGUGAUUAGCAUUGUAAAGAGUAUAUAAAAGUAUGUAAUACAUAGGUUGCCUAAAUUUAUGUGGAAAUGAAGAUCAUUCUCUACAAAGUGUUCUCAGCUAUAGGUAAAAUUAGGAGAAGUGUCCAGUCAUUAAGCAAUUCUUAAAAGGCAAAGAAAUAUUUUGUGUGCCCCAUCCUGUAAUCGCCUUUCCUUCUCCUUUCUUCAGGAGCUCAAUCUGAGAGAAGAAACCCUGAAAGAGAACCAUACACUUGACUGUGGGUUGUUCAGGCAUUGUGCUGAGAGCUGUGAAGUGCUGAAAUGUGGCUCCCUCUUACAGGCAGAGAGCUUCAGCAUGGUCCAGUCCCAGACACUUUCCUAUCUCCAUAUAUUUUUAGCUAAGAGUGGGUUGAAUCUUUCCAAUUCAUCAGCUAAAAAGAACUGCCUUUAAAAAGUUCUCACAGGAGUUCUCAUCGUGGCGCAGCAGAAACGAAUAUGACUAGGAACCAUGAGGCUGUGGGUUUGACCCCUGGUCUCGCUCAGUGGGUUAAGGAUCCAGGGUUGCUGUGGCUAUGGUGUAGGCCAGCAGCUGUAGCUCCAGUUAGACCCCUAGCCUGGGAACCUCCAUAUGUCUUGGGUGCAGCCCUAAAAAGCAAAAUAAAAUAAAAAGUUCUCACAAAGGCAAAAAAGUGGCCCUGGGUACCAGAGAUAUUGCCAUCACACAUGUCACCUAUUCUCAGUUCUCCUUUCUUUCAUCCUUUUCUACCUGCCCCUACCUCUAGGUAGGUCUAUGCUCUAAGCCUACACAAGUGGCUCUGGCUGGCAGCACUAAGAGCUGGAGUUUGCUGUCCCCAAUUAAUGACAACAGCAAGAUAUAUGUAGCUAUAUAUAGCUCGCUACUAUGUGCCAGACACUUCACUAAGUGUAUUCCAAAAAUGAUCUUAUUUAAUCUUCAUAACAACCUUAUGACAUAGGAGGUAUUUUAUCUCCAUUCUACAUAUGGCCCUAAAAGGUUAAGUCAUCUGCCCAAGGUCAUACAGCCAACAAAUUUCAAAGUACAGAUUUCAAACCUACGUUUCCAUCUUAUCCCAGAGAUUAAUAAUGUUCUUUAAACCAUAUCGUCCGUGCUCAGAAAUCACACAGACCUGAAUUUCAGCCCUAAUACUACCACUUAGCACUUGGGCUAUCUGGUAAAUUAGUCAAUCUGAGUUUCCUCGAGUAUGACACGGAAUAGCAAUACCACUUAAGUUGGUAGUUGUGAGCACUAAAUGAGCUAACAUAUAAAAAAUGUCUAGCAGUGUUUGCAAUACUCGCUACACUCAUUCCUGCCUGUCCUUCUAUUUGAUUAUCAGCUAUAGAGGUAGCCACGAAAAGACAACACUAAGGAAGGAUUAGGAAAAAUUGUGGACCAUCAUCAAGUGCAACGUCCGCGGUGGGUUUACUCGGUGUCCCAGAGAUAAGUUCCGGCAACGCAAAACUGAUGUAACCGCACUUCCUUCACUCGGCUGGCUGCAGUGAGCGCAAAACACUAGACGGAAGAAUUUCGAAGCUGGAGCCAGAAUCGGAGCCCCUAAGAUACACCAUCUCCCAACCCCCUGCUUUACACCAAAAUCGAGUUACCUUUGCCCACCCCACCUACCUAGCAGCUUUCCCUGGAACCAUUGGCUACUCUGAAGCGCGCCCCUUUUCUCUCCGCAGUCGCUCGGCGCAGAGCUGGGCGUGCGCCAGUCCCUCUCAGGGAUAGACGCAGCAGCGAUUGCGGGGCGGGUCACCCUCCCCUGGGCUGUAGGCCCGAAACCCCACCGGGGGAGGCUGGAGGAUCCCAGGCACCGCCCACCCAGGGAUCCGGGAAGUUGUAGGAACCCUGACUCAUCGGACCCGAAGCAGAGAGAAGUCUGCACUCACUUUUCGGUCUCAGGAGUGGAAGUCGCACCAGAGUGGAGACCAGGAGGCAGAGUCGAGGAGUCUCCCAGCCAGCCGGGUAUUCACAGAACCCUGGGCGGAUCCGGCGGAGGGGCGAGGCGGGGCGAGGCUAAGGCCGCCCCGCCCAUCCCGGCCGCGGCCUGCCCGGAGCCCUGAGGCACUGAUGUGUUCCCUACCUGUUGAUUCUUCAAGGUUAUUUUAGGAGAAAUAGCUUGCUUAUCCAAAACCCCCAAGAUGACUCCAGGCGUUUAAAUAAAUUAUUUGGUGCACCAAAA